CAAAAAUGAAAUCGCUCAGUCGUGUCCGACUGUUAGCGACCCCAUGGACUGCAGCCCACCAGGCUCCUCCGUCCAUGGGAUUUUCCAGGCAAGAGUACUGGAGUGGAGUUCCAUUGCCUUCUACGAGACAAGGGCUGUUGGGUUUCUGCCACAUAGUUCAUCCUACCUUGCUGCUGCUGCUAAGUCGCUUCAGUCGUGUCCAACUCUGUGCGACCCCAUAGAAGACAGCCCACCAGGCUCCCCCGUCCCUGGGACUCUCCAGGCAAGAACACUGGAGUGGGUUGCCAUUUCCUUCUCCAGCCAUCCUACCCUAAGUCUUCAUAAUCCACCCCCUCCUCUGCUGUAGGCUCAACUCACCCUGCCACAUUUUUUUAGAAGGCAGCAAUCCUUCCAUCUCUUCAUUUUCUUUCUGAAGACUAUCAUAAUUUAAAAUUUCUAAAAUGUCUUAAGUUGGAAUAAAAUAAAAUGACAU
Long non-coding RNA from Bubalus bubalis (water buffalo), 472 nucleotides. RefSeq lists it as uncharacterized. Lineage: Eukaryota; Metazoa; Chordata; Mammalia; Artiodactyla; Bovidae. The record is from RefSeq and is a predicted model, not a curated record. The transcript is spliced from 2 exons.